UACAGAGGGGCAAGCGUUGUUCGGAAUUACUGGGCGUAAAGGGCGCGUCGGCGGCCUGUUAAGUCGAACGUGAAAUCCCCGGGCUCAACCCGGGAACUGCGUCCGAUACUGGCAGGCUUGAAUCCGGGAGAGGGAUGCGGAAUUCCAGGUGUAGCGGUGAAAUGCGUAGAUAUCUGGAGGAACACCGGUGGCGAAGGCGGCAUCCUGGACCGGCAUUGACGCUGAGGCGCGAAAGCCAGGGGAGCAAACGGG
This 252-nucleotide ribosomal RNA is filed under the name uncultured bacterium. RNAcentral's name for it is "partial 16S ribosomal RNA". It matches the Rfam family "Bacterial small subunit ribosomal RNA", at positions 524 to 776 of the family's 1533-position model. The record is from RNAcentral.